Molecule: ribosomal RNA, 191 nt
Filed under: uncultured bacterium
Lineage: Bacteria
Description: partial 16S ribosomal RNA
Rfam family: Bacterial small subunit ribosomal RNA
Source: RNAcentral
UUCGCCUGCAUGAAGCCGGAAUUGCUAGUAAUGGCAGGUCAGCAUACUGCCGUGAAUACGUUCCCGGGCCUUGUACACACCGCCCGUCACACCAUGAGAGUUGGGGAUACCCAAAGCCCGUGAGCCAACUUUUAAAGAGGCAGCGGUCUAAGGUAGAAUCAAUGAUUGGGGUGAAGUCGUAACAAGGUAAC